Non-coding RNA from Ictidomys tridecemlineatus (thirteen-lined ground squirrel), 674 nucleotides. Lineage: Eukaryota; Metazoa; Chordata; Mammalia; Rodentia; Sciuridae. The record is from RefSeq and is a predicted model, not a curated record.
CCCGCGAGGCGGAAGCCACCUCGUCGUCGGGGUUCCAGCCCCUUCGCGAGCCGCUGUGCAGCCGGACCCGGUCCGCCGCCUGCCUCAGUUUCCUCGGGAGUGUGUGAGUGUGUGCGGGAGCGGGACCGGUGGUAUGCAGUCGGCGCUUAACUCCCGCGCGCCGCCUCCUUGACCCCUCCCCGGGGGGCGGAACCUUGGGACCUUGGUCCACCUAAGUGGCAGACUGCAUCCUCCUGGAGACAGGUGUCUGCCGCUGGGGAGGCUCAGGUGCUGCCAGCCUCAGCAGCAGUACCUUCCUGUAGCAGUUGCUGGAUCCAGUUUGCAGUUUUUCCAAGGACCAGUUUCAUCAAGCUUUCUUCAGAGACCACUAGCGCCAGCCAGCACCGCUCUUUAGAGGCCUGGGUCACAGGCACAAUGGUCCUCUACUUGGAAAUCUGAGACAUCAGCACCAGCUGAGCAGUGCCUUCCCAGAAGUCUGAGUUUGAGUUCCUGAGUUCUUCCUCUAAGCAUUUGUUAGCCCUGCGCUAGGGGUAGUAGUUGCUUCCUGCAGUUGUCAAGACUAUGAUUGCUAAGAGUUCUUUUUUUUUUUUUUUUUUUUGUCCCUUUAGCCGUGUACUGAAAAACUUGAAAUUCAGUUAACAAAAUCUUGUAUUAAAUUCUCUUUGUUCAAAUAA